UUUCACUUCUACUACUCUUUUACACUUCACGUUCUCUCUUCUCCUCUUUGCUCUUUCACUCUCACCACCAUCUCACCUGUAUCAAUUCCUCCUAUACCCAAUUCCAAACCCUAUUACCAACAGCCCCAUUUCAUCCUUCUCCUCAAUUACCAACAGCUCACCUCCAUCAAUUUCUCUUAUUCCCAAUUCCAAACCCUAAUUCCAAUUACGGGAUACAAAGACAAACCAAAUACCAAGUGAAGAUUCUUUGUUAAAAAUCUUAGGUAUUGGAAAUGGCAUUCCUCUUGAUGUUGUUACUACUCCUAAGAUUGCAAAGGUUUUGACUCACAAAUAUUCCUUUAACUUUGGUGGAAAUCCUGUUUGUAUAGAUGUAGGAUUGGCUGUUUUGAAAGUAAUAAUAGAAAAGAGUGAGGUCCCAUUUGAAAGAGGGGCUUAACGCACUCAAAGACAAAUAUAAAUGGAAGGUUUCUAUUCCUUUUUCCAUCUAAGAUUAAUGCAUAAGAAAGCAUUCAUGAAUUCAUUCUAGGGAGAGUAACAUAAAAGAAUCAGAAUUUGUUUCUCUCUCUUUAUAUCUCUAAUAAACUUGUUUUUUUAUUCUAUUAUAAUUGCUGAUGUGAGGAAAAGGUUUGAUGCUUGGAGUUGAACUUGUCACUGGCUGUGAACUUAAAAUGCCAGCCAAAGAUGAAACACGACAGGUGAUGGACCAAAUAAAAGGUUAUGGAAUUGUAUUCAGAAAUCAGCUCCCUUAUCUUUUACCAAAGAUGUUUCCUGAUGGAUGCUAUGAAGUGCACAUUAUCUAGAAUUUGACCUGUGAAGCUUAAAUAAGAUGCAAGUGUAAAUAAAUGACAACUUAUUUUAUGAUAAGUUAAACUCUAUUAGAAUAUUAUGUAUUCACUCAAGCAAGUAAAGUUUAUAAAUUUUAAAUGCUUGCUUAGACCAAUAUAAUUUAAAAUUUCUAUUGUGAAUUUGAUUUCA
Molecule: long non-coding RNA, 975 nt
Organism: Medicago truncatula (barrel medic)
Lineage: Eukaryota; Viridiplantae; Streptophyta; Magnoliopsida; Fabales; Fabaceae
Exons: 4
Source: RefSeq, a predicted model, not a curated record